AUCGCUUCUCGGCCUUUUGGCUAAGCUCAAGUGUAGUAUCUGUUCUUAUCAGUUUGAAAUGCAGUCGUAAGGUUGGCGAGGCCCCCCACCUUGUGUUGUUAUUAUGUGACAGAGGCAUCAAUUGUUAUGUCACUUUUCUUCCACUUUCUUGGGAAGUUUUCAAAUUCUAGUAUUUAUUUCCUUUAAAAUUGAGAACACUUU
Small nuclear RNA from Ictidomys tridecemlineatus (thirteen-lined ground squirrel), 201 nucleotides. Its record names the gene U2. It matches the Rfam family "U2 spliceosomal RNA". From Rfam's summary of the family: U2 is a small nuclear RNA (snRNA) component of the spliceosome (involved in pre-mRNA splicing). Complementary binding between U2 snRNA (in an area lying towards the 5' end but 3' to hairpin I) and the branchpoint sequence (BPS) of the intron results the bulging out of an unpaired adenosine, on the BPS, which initiates a nucleophilic attack at the intronic 5' splice site, thus starting the first of two transesterification reactions that mediate splicing. The record is from Ensembl. Lineage: Eukaryota; Metazoa; Chordata; Mammalia; Rodentia; Sciuridae.